RNAcentral lists this ribosomal RNA (253 nucleotides) under uncultured bacterium. Its description in RNAcentral is "partial 16S ribosomal RNA". It matches the Rfam family "Bacterial small subunit ribosomal RNA", at positions 524 to 776 of the family's 1533-position model. The record is from RNAcentral.
UACGUAGGGUGCAAGCGUUGUCCGGAAUCACUGGGCGUAAAGCGCGCGCAGGCGGAUGUGUAAGUGUCUUGUGAAAUCCCACGGCUCAACCGUGGAACUGCUGGGCAUACUGGACAUCUCGAGGCACUCAGGGGCGAGCGGAACAAGUGGUGGAGCGGUGAAAUGCGUAGAUAUCACUUGGAACGCCAAUGGUGAAGACAGCUCGCUGGGGGUGUCCUGACGCUGAGGCGCGAAAGCCAGGGGAGCGAACGGG